UGGUGGGUAGUUUGACUGGGGCGGUCUCCUCCUAAAGAGUAACGGAGGAGCACGAAGGUUGGCUAAUCCUGGUCGGACAUCAGGAGGUUAGUGCAAUGGCAUAAGCCAGCUUGACUGCGAGCGUGACGGCGCGAGCAGGUGCGAAAGCAGGUCAUAGUGAUCCGGUGGUUCUGAAUGGAAGGGCCAUCGCUCAACGGAUAAAAGGUACUCCGGGGAUAACAGGCUGAUACCGCCCAAGAGUUCAUAUCGACGGCGGUGUUUGGCACCUCGAUGUCGGCUCAUCACAUCCUGGGGCUGAAGUAGGUCCCAAGGGUAUGGCUGUUCGCCAUUUAAAGUGGUACGCGAGCUGGGUUUAGAACGUCGUGAGACAGUUCGGUCCCUAUCUGCCGUGGGCGCUGGAGAACUGAGGGGGGCUGCUCCUAGUACGAGAGGACCGGAGUGGACGCAUCACUGGUGUUCGGGUUGUCAUGCCAAUGGCACUGCCCGGUAGCUAAAUGCGGAAGAGAUAAGUGCUGAAAGCAUCUAAGCACGAAACUUGCCCCGAGAUGAGUUCUCCCUGACUCCUUGAGAGUCCUGAA
Molecule: ribosomal RNA, 578 nt
Filed under: Escherichia coli
Lineage: Bacteria; Pseudomonadati; Pseudomonadota; Gammaproteobacteria; Enterobacterales; Enterobacteriaceae
Description: partial 23S ribosomal RNA
Rfam family: Bacterial large subunit ribosomal RNA
Source: RNAcentral